CCAAAAUUUUCAACUCGUGUUCGGUCUGGCACUUUGCUGGGCCUGUGUAAAUCUGUCAGGAAAAUACGGUGGCGAGAGACAUGCGUUUAUCAGUAAUAUUAUGAUAGGGAAUAAAUUCCACGAGACAGUUCGAAUAUCAUGAAUCAAUAAAUCGACAUACACGGUGACCUUCAUCGCUCUGCUAAUCAUCAACAAACCGGUCAGCGCGAGUUUUGUCCUGCUUUGCAAGAUUUAAACCCACGCUUCUUCUAUACUUAAUUAAACUCGCGUGCAAGAAAGUGGAAAUGUUUGAUCACUAGGGCUGCAAAAAACCCGUAGGCCAGCUGCGAGGCCAAAUUGAAGAAACAUCAUGAAAUAGCCAGAAAAACAAACCAUUCAGCUACAGGUAUAGGGACGAUUGUUGAAAAGAGGCUUGUUUACGCUUCGCUUUCGAUGUAAACAAUCGUUAUGGCAUACGGCAUACAUUAGUAACGGGCUGCAUGUGUGCGUCGCAUGCGCUUUCACACACGUGUACCCAACCCACCCAAAUCACUGCAGGUACAAACAACGCAUACAUGCACACGCUCGCAAAUUGUAUCAUAUUGUUUAUUAUGUGGCGGGUAGCGAAUGUCAAUGCGAAUGCACGAAAUAAUCGGUGCACGGGUGCUGUCGGUCGAUUAUUUACACACUGCCACUGUCAGACGGUGGCGUCGCGCACACACCCGGCGCCGGCAACUCGCUGCAAUUCGGCCGUAAAGUCGCAUGUGGAUGCUGCCUCCGAGUGCGAACGCGUGUGGGCGGCGCUCGCUUCACACCGAAAUCGAGUCUCCCCGAGAUUCGCGCCUCACAGAUGCACAACAAAUGCAAAAAUGCACCAACUCACCUAUUUCGCAUGGGGAUUACGGCGUGCACGCACUACAAUCGUAAGAGCGAUUGUCGCCGGUUGUAGGUUGUCCACUGUUAACCAGGUAGCAUCGUUAAUUAUUGUGGAUUUCACGCUUUAUGUUGCACUAUUCUGGAGCAUAACGUCUUAGUACCGCCAUGUUGAAACGGCAACUGACAGCCGAACACGGACGAGCGCUGCGCGAAUGUAUGCAACUUAUCUUACACUCAUAAACACAUUUCAAUUGCUGACUAGUUUUACUUGAAAUAUGUCACAAUUGUACGAAUAAUAAACUAUUCGCAAUAUUUUUUAAUAAAUUAUAUUUUUAUCAAUGGUCA
This is a long non-coding RNA of Dalotia coriaria, 1200 nucleotides long. RefSeq lists it as uncharacterized. Lineage: Eukaryota; Metazoa; Arthropoda; Insecta; Coleoptera; Staphylinidae. The record is from RefSeq and is a predicted model, not a curated record. The transcript is spliced from 2 exons.